Molecule: non-coding RNA, 245 nt
Organism: Lolium perenne
Lineage: Eukaryota; Viridiplantae; Streptophyta; Magnoliopsida; Poales; Poaceae
Source: RefSeq, a predicted model, not a curated record
UCAGUCGACUCUGCUCUUAGAUGAUCCAAUGAUCAAAGAGCUUCUUCGGAUCGGGUCCCAAUUUGUUGGGUACCGUGAAUAUGCCGCCAGAGCCGAAGAAAAACUUUCAGAGGCCAACGAACGUGUCGACGCACUUGCUCAAAAACUCGAGCAAAGUGAGGCGGCUCGCAAGAAAGCUGAACUUGCUGCUAGCAAAGCCAAGGCCGAGGUUGAUGAAGCCAAGGUGAAAGCUGCUAGUGUCGAGG